CUGGCAACCGAAACCCACCCCGAGAGAGAGAGAGAGAGAGAGAGAGAGGGAGACUUUCCCCCAGCCACCCCCCCCACCCCUUUUUCUCCACGACUGCACUUUGGAAGAGAUCAUGUAGAAAGGACAGAAAGUGAGCAGGGAGCGGGGGCUUUUGUCUAUCCUUGUGCUACCUGAGAGAAACUGCAAUCCUAAGACUUAACAGAAUCUAAAAAUGGUUUAUCAGCCAAGGCAAAUGAUUUGGGUUAGCCAGAAAAUCUUCCCAACCAGCCAUGGAGAUGGGGGAUUUCUAAAGGGAUGUCUUCCCAUCUCAAAGGAAGUAAAUCGCAAGAAAGAAAGUGAAGUGGAAGGGGCAUGUUGGGCUCCAGUGAAUGGCGAUGAUCACCAUUUCACCAAAAUCAAUUACCUCUACACUUUUUAGUCAUGAUUUUUCCAUUUGUAUCACAUAUGGUGUAUGGGUUUGAUGAGGUCAUGGUGUCAUAUAUUGGGAAUUGUUUCUGUGUAAAUCAUCAAGUGUAAGAAGAAACUACGGGACUCUGAGCCUUGCUUUAGAAAAUAACAGUGGACAAACGUGUACCAUAAAACUAGGUUUAACAUUCUGACUCAAGCGAAAGCUCUCAGAAUUUCACACUGUGAAUCCAUGUUUACAAACAUUACAGGUGGGCCCUCAGGCCUGGUUCUACCACAGCAAUGUCUUCCACUACUCAAACUCCACUGCUUACAUGAAACUGGUAAACUACUCUCUCCAUUUUCACCAUCCCUAACUGCUUUUUGCAGAGGCUGAGAGUCCCCCUUUUUUUCAUUUAGAUGUAACAAACCUAGUAGUUUAUUUUCAUCAAUUGUCUGUAUAUCUCUAUAUUUUAUCCAUGUACUCUUUUGAUGUAUAGAAGUAGUAUGAAACUCAUGGUUUCCUUGUGGUAAGUGAUUGUGAUGCUGCCACGGGAUUUGAGACACUGAUGAAUGGUGCUAUUUUGGACUUUAAAUAUGCUCCUUGGCAAGGUAGCUCUGAUGGAGUUAUUUUUUAUUUCCAUGUUCUGAGAAGGUGUUGGUACUUUGUUUUUCUGAAUGUUGUUCUUUAGACUGGACUGACUUGUUUACUUGUGUCUUCAGUGUGGCUUUCUUAUUCAGUGCCGUAGGUGAGUAACUACUUAUAGUGUACAAGUGAGGAACUGAUUCCCUGUCAGGGUCCACUCACAAACUUGCAGUUACAGUGGGAGCAAUCACAAAACUGUAAUUUUAUAUAAAAUCUCCUUUCUGACUUCUAUCCACCUAGCGGAGAAAAACAAGCAAUAAUUUUUAAGCAACCUCUCAAAAUCUGUUUUGAUUUUUGUCAUUUUUAAAGGCCUUUUUGGAAGAGGGACAAGUUUUAAAGUCCUCUUCUAAUACAUAAAAUAGGGGAUAUUGUAAGAAACAUACUGCAGACUUCUGAGAGGUGAAGUCCUAUAGGGGAAAAGAGUACAUUCCCACAGCACUGUCAACAUACGAGGUUUACAUUUUUGUUCUUGCUCCCAGAUAUCUAUCAAUACAAAACAACACAAAAUACAAAACUAAACAGUAUCAUUUAAUCAUGGGAUGUUGUUGUGUUAGAAACAGUCUGAAAGCCCACCUUAAUUUUUUAUAUAAUUCUGUCUUUUAGCUCUUCCUUUCACAGGGCAGGCCUUGUUCUGAACUGUUUUAGCUUCUGACUGUUAAAUACCAAUGCAUGCACUGCACUUCCUUGAUUUCUUUCCCUUCCUCUCCUUCUGUAUCUCUUUUCUUUUCCAAUAGAUUAGAUUCAUCUAUUGUGCUGUAUAUAGAGCAACAAAUAAUAUUCAGCAGUUGUGGCAUUUAUGUAUAGUUGCAGUUGUGUACUGCUGAAAAUGCAGGCUUUUGUAACGAUGUGAUCUUUAAUAAUGCACUACAAGUACCCAACGUAUUUUAGCUAUUUUAGUAGGAUUUGUUCAAUAAAUAUGCAAGCUCUAAUGGUAACUGUGAUGUC
RNAcentral lists this long non-coding RNA (1975 nucleotides) under Chrysolophus pictus (golden pheasant). RNAcentral describes it as "lncRNA (ENSCPIG00010006262.1)". The record is from RNAcentral. Lineage: Eukaryota; Metazoa; Chordata; Aves; Galliformes; Phasianidae.